RNAcentral lists this ribosomal RNA (488 nucleotides) under uncultured bacterium. RNAcentral describes it as "bacterial SSU rRNA". It matches the Rfam family "Bacterial small subunit ribosomal RNA", at positions 28 to 526 of the family's 1533-position model. The record is from RNAcentral.
AACGAACGUUGGCGGCGUGGAUUAGGCAUGCAAGUCGAACGAGAACCGGGGGCAACUCCGGGGAAAGUGGCGAAAGGGGCAGUAAUGCGUGGGUAACGUACCCUCUGGUCUGGGAUAGCCAGCUGAAAGGCUGGGUAAUACCGGGCGAAGUAGUGAAGUCGCAUGGCUUUACUACCAAAGAUUUAUCGCCGGGGGAGCGGCCCACGUGGUAUUAGCUUGUUGGUGAGGUAACGGCUCACCAAGGCUUAGAUGCCUAGCGGGUGUGAGAGCACGACCCGCGCCACUGGCACUGAGACACUGGCCAGACACCUACGGGUGGCUGCAGUCGAGGAUCUUCGGCAAUGGGCGCAAGCCUGACCGAGCGACGCCGCGUGUGCGAUGAAGGCCUUCGGGUUGUAAAGCACUGUCGAGGGGGAGGAAAGCCGCAAGGUCUGACCUAUCCCUGGAGGAAGCACGGGCUAAGUUCGUGCCAGCCGCCGCAGUAAUAC